AUAAGACAUAAAUCUUCUUGAAAAAGAGGGGUGUCCUCGAGAACACGGAUACAUGUGGUGCAUGACUAUCGUCAGCUCGUGCCGUAAGGUGUUGGGUUAAUUCCCGCAACGAGCGCAACCCUCGUGUUUAGUUGUCAACAUUUUACAUUGCUUAAAAUGAAAAUUAAUUGUCAUUUAUGACAAAAAUUUGCAUUAAUCUAUGUAAUAAAU
This is a non-coding RNA of Beta vulgaris subsp. vulgaris (sugar beet), 210 nucleotides long. The record is from Rfam. Lineage: Eukaryota; Viridiplantae; Streptophyta; Magnoliopsida; Caryophyllales; Amaranthaceae.